GACGUAGGAGGCGAGCGUUGUCCGGAUUCAUUGGGCGUAAAGAGCGCGCAGGCGGUUUGGUAAGUCGGAUGUGAAAUCCCGGAGCUCAACUCCGGACCUGCAUCCGAUACUGCCCGACUAGAGGUAGGUAGGGGAGAUCGGAAUUCCUGGUGUAGCGGUGAAAUGCGCAGAUAUCAGGAGGAACACCGGUGGCGAAGGCGGAUCUCUGGGCCUUACCUGACGCUCAGGCGCGAAAGCUAGGGGAGCGAACAGG
RNAcentral lists this ribosomal RNA (253 nucleotides) under uncultured bacterium. RNAcentral's name for it is "partial 16S ribosomal RNA". It matches the Rfam family "Bacterial small subunit ribosomal RNA", at positions 524 to 776 of the family's 1533-position model. The record is from RNAcentral.